GUCCCACCUCUUCCCAUCCCGAACAGAGAAGUUAAGCCCUGCAGCGCCGAUGGUACUGGGGUUACUCCCGGGAGAGUAGGCCGCCGCCUUAU
Molecule: ribosomal RNA, 92 nt
Filed under: Rhodonellum sp.
Lineage: Bacteria; Pseudomonadati; Bacteroidota; Cytophagia; Cytophagales; Cytophagaceae
Source: RNAcentral